UACGGAGGAUCCAAGCGUUAUCCGGAAUCAUUGGGUUUAAAGGGUCCGUAGGCGGUUUAAUAAGUCAGUGGUGAAAGCCCAUCGCUCAACGGUGGAACGGCCAUUGAUACUGUUAAACUUGAAUUAUUAGGAAGUAACUAGAAUAUGUAGUGUAGCGGUGAAAUGCUUAGAGAUUACAUGGAAUACCAAUUGCGAAGGCAGGUUACUACUAAUGGAUUGACGCUGAUGGACGAAAGCGUGGGUAGCGAACAGGAUUAGAAACCCCCGUAGUCC
Molecule: ribosomal RNA, 273 nt
Filed under: uncultured Flavobacterium sp.
Lineage: Bacteria; Pseudomonadati; Bacteroidota; Flavobacteriia; Flavobacteriales; Flavobacteriaceae
Description: partial 16S ribosomal RNA
Rfam family: Bacterial small subunit ribosomal RNA
Source: RNAcentral